UGAAGAGUCAGUAUCUUACUGUUGUGUGCCCAUAAAAAGGUUCAGUUAACAGAGACAAGAGAAAUACUCCUUUGAUUUUUCCCAUUAUAUGAGCAAUGCAUGCUCAUUAUCACUUGUUAAAACUACAUGGUACAUAAAGAAAAAAAAGUUAGAUUUAUAGAUUAAUAGUAACAUGGAAUAAAUCCCUAACAUUCUCUCUUCCGUAUCCUUCUCUGAAAUUAUAAAAUGGAGAUGAAGAAGUUUCAACAUCGGGACCAUAAUUCAAUUCUCUCCUAACUACUGAUUACAAUUGUGGUGGAGAAAAAGGUGUUCCUGGAGAAAGAAAGAAGACCAGAUAUUAGAGUGGGAAAGAAAAGAACAUUGAAUUAAAACAAACGGUAACAGCACGGCCACAGGGGGAUAGAGCACCAAGUGGGCCUGUGGGAUCGCCAAUUCCAGAACUUGACCCUUGGAUGGCAUUUCUGGAUCUGCGAUGGGGAAGACAGGAGCCCAUUGUCCUGAAAGGAUGUGUUCGCAAUUUUACCACUGCUUGAAGAACAGAAUGCUUAACAAGUUCCCAUCGUAAGGAUUAUCUGGAGGACACUGCAAAGAACUCCACCAGAGGAAAUAUUCAUCCCUCCAGACUUCAAACAAUUAAGAGCUAAUGCUUAAUUACUAGUUUGUACUCAUUAGAAGCGAGACUAUGGGAUGUAGUCAAGAAAUAUAAGGCAUUGUUUCUGCCCUCGGAGAGUCUAUAAUUUGAAGAAUAAAACAAACAUUAAAUGAUUACAAAAUAUUAUAUAUACUAAAAUAUGUAAAACAUAUAUUAUUAAAGAACCUUUGCUAGAGUGAGUUGUCUUUAAAUGUGAAAAAAGGAAAUAACUACAAUUAUUAAUCAACUAAGAUUUGCUAAUUAGGUCACACAACAUCUCUUUGAGUUAACUAGUGUUUUCUCUAAGGUACACUUCAGGGAGGUGUGCCCAUUUACACUGGCAUUAUAUGGCUUUAAGAACUUGAACCCAGGACUUGACAACUUCUUAGAAUCUUUCUCCCAAUCAUGAUCUAGCUAACUAUUCUGAAAUUCACUUAACUUCAAGUAGUGCCAGUUUACUCAAUGAUAUCUCUAUUAUGAUUUAAAUUAUUUCAUCCUCUCUUCUAGCAAAAUACCUAACUUUUAAUGGGAUUUUUGUCUUUAAUU
RNAcentral lists this long non-coding RNA (1177 nucleotides) under Homo sapiens (human). RNAcentral's name for it is "HSALNT0210142". Lineage: Eukaryota; Metazoa; Chordata; Mammalia; Primates; Hominidae. The record is from RNAcentral.